CACGAACUUAGCCCGUGCUUCCUCCAGGGAUCGGUCAAGCUUGCGCCUUCCUCCCCCUCGACAGGAGUUUACAACCCGAAGGCCUUCGUCCUCCACGCGGCGUCGCUCGGUCAGGCUUGCGCCCAUUGCCGAAGAUUCUCGACUGCAGCCUCCCGUAGGAGUCUGGGCAGUGUCUCAGUCCCAGUGUGCCGGGCCACGCUCGCACGCCCGGUAGGCAUCGCAGGCUUGGUGGGCCGUCACCCCGCCAACCACCUAAUACCACAACGGCCCGUCCCGCGGCGAUAAAUCUUUGGUGACAUCCCGAUGCCGGGUCGUCACGUCGCUGGGAAUUACCCGAAGUUUCCCUCGGCUAUGCCCACCCGCGGGGUUGGUUACCGUCGCCUUACUCACCCUUGCGCCACUGGCCUUGCGGCCCGUCCGACUUGCAUGCCUAAUCCACGCCGCCAACGUUCAUUCUGAGCCAGGAUCAAACUCU
Molecule: ribosomal RNA, 475 nt
Filed under: uncultured Planctomycetaceae bacterium
Lineage: Bacteria; Pseudomonadati; Planctomycetota; Planctomycetia; Planctomycetales; Planctomycetaceae
Description: partial 16S ribosomal RNA
Source: RNAcentral